RNAcentral lists this ribosomal RNA (523 nucleotides) under uncultured bacterium. RNAcentral describes it as "bacterial SSU rRNA". It matches the Rfam family "Bacterial small subunit ribosomal RNA", at positions 8 to 526 of the family's 1533-position model. The record is from RNAcentral.
AGAGUUUGAUCAUGGCUCAGAUUGAACGCUGGCGGCAUGCCUUACACAUGCAAGUCGAACGGCAGCACGGGGGCAACCCUGGUGGCGAGUGGCGAACGGGUGAGUAAUACAUCGGAACGUGUCCAGUAGUGGGGGAUAGCCCGGCGAAAGCCGGAUUAAUACCGCAUACGACCUACGGGUGAAAGCGGGGGAUCGCAAGACCUCGCGCUAUCGGAGCGGCCGAUGUCAGAUUAGCUAGUUGGUAGGGUAAAAGCCUACCAAGGCGACGAUCUGUAGCUGGUCUGAGAGGACGACCAGCCACACUGGGACUGAGACACGGCCCAGACUCCUACGGGAGGCAGCAGUGGGGAAUUUUGGACAAUGGGCGCAAGCCUGAUCCAGCCAUGCCGCGUGCGGGAAGAAGGCCUUCGGGUUGUAAACCGCUUUUGUCAGGGAAGAAACGCUCUGAGCUAAUACCUCGGAGUAAUGACGGUACCUGAAGAAUAAGCACCGGCUAACUACGUGCCAGCCGCCGCGGUAAUAC